CCUACGGGAGGCAGCAGUGAGGAAUAUUGGUCAAUGGUCGGGAGACUGAACCAGCCAAGCCGCGUGAGGGAGGAAGGUACAGAGUAUCGUAAACCUCUUUUGUCAGGGAACAAAGGCGGGGACGUGUCCCCGGCUGAGUGUACCUUACGAACAAGCAUCGGCUAACUCCGUGCCAGCAGCCGCGGUACUACGGGGGAUGCGAGCGUUAUCCGGAUUUAUUGGGUUAAAGGGGUGCGCAGGCGGUCUGUUAAGUUAGCGGUCAAAGCCCGGGGCUCAACCUCGCCCCGCCGUUGAAACUGGCAGUCUCGAGUGGGAGAGAGGUAUGCGGAAUGCGCGGUGUAGCGGUGAAAUGCAUAGAUAUCGCGCAGAACUCCGAUGGCGAAGGCAGCAUGCCGGCUCCACACUGACGCUGAGGCACGAAAGCGUGGGUAUCGAACAGGAUUAGAUACCCUGGUAGUC
RNAcentral lists this ribosomal RNA (459 nucleotides) under uncultured bacterium. Its description in RNAcentral is "partial 16S ribosomal RNA". It matches the Rfam family "Bacterial small subunit ribosomal RNA", at positions 338 to 795 of the family's 1533-position model. The record is from RNAcentral.